UACGGGGGGGGCAAGCGUUGUUCGGAAUUACUGGGCGUAAAGGGCGCGUAGGCGGCCUGCUAAGUCGGACGUGAAAUCCCUCGGCUCAACCGGGGAACUGCGUCUGAUACUGGCGGGCUUGAAUUCGGGAGAGGGAUGUGGAAUUCCAGGUGUAGCGGUGAAAUGCGUAGAUAUCUGGAGGAACACCGGUGGCGAAGGCGGCAUCCUGGACCGACAUUGACGCUGAGGCGCGAAAGCCAGGGGAGCAAACGGG
This 253-nucleotide ribosomal RNA is filed under the name uncultured bacterium. RNAcentral describes it as "partial 16S ribosomal RNA". It matches the Rfam family "Bacterial small subunit ribosomal RNA", at positions 524 to 776 of the family's 1533-position model. The record is from RNAcentral.